CCUACGGGUGGCUGCAGUGAGGAAUAUUGGUCAAUGGGCGUGAGCCUGAACCAGCCAAGUCGCGUGAGGGAUGAAUGUUCUAUGGAUUGUAAACCUCUUUUAUAAGGGAAUAAAGUGAGGCACGUGUCCCUUUUUGUAUGUACUUUAUGAAUAAGGAUCGGCUAACUCCGUGCCAGCAGCCGCGGUAAUACGGAGGAUCCGAGCGUUAUCCGGAUUUAUUGGGUUUAAAGGGUGCGUAGACGGGGUUUUAAGUCAGCUGUGAAAGUCUGCGGCUCAACCGUAGAAUUGCAGUUGAAACUGGCAGUCUUGAGUAUGUUUGAGGCAGGCGGAAUGCGUGGUGUAGCGGUGAAAUGCUUAGAUAUCACGAAGAACUCCGAUUGCGAAGGCAGCUUACUAAGCCAUGACUGACGCUGAUGCACGAAAGCGUGGGGAUCAAACAGGAUUAGAUACCCGGGUAGUC
Molecule: ribosomal RNA, 460 nt
Filed under: uncultured bacterium
Lineage: Bacteria
Description: partial 16S ribosomal RNA
Rfam family: Bacterial small subunit ribosomal RNA
Source: RNAcentral